UACGUAGGGUGCGAGCGUUGUCCGGAAUUAUUGGGCGUAAAGAGCUUGUAGGCGGUUUGUCGCGUCUGCUGUGAAAAUCCGGGGCUCAACCCCGGACUUGCAGUGGGUACGGGCAGACUAGAGUGUGGUAGGGGAGACUGGAAUUCCUGGUGUAGCGGUGAAAUGCGCAGAUAUCAGGAGGAACACCGGUGGCGAAGGCGGGUCUCUGGGCCGAUACUGACGCUGAGGAGCGAAAGCAUGGGUAGCGAACAGG
Molecule: ribosomal RNA, 253 nt
Filed under: uncultured bacterium
Lineage: Bacteria
Description: partial 16S ribosomal RNA
Rfam family: Bacterial small subunit ribosomal RNA
Source: RNAcentral